Molecule: ribosomal RNA, 253 nt
Filed under: uncultured bacterium
Lineage: Bacteria
Description: partial 16S ribosomal RNA
Rfam family: Bacterial small subunit ribosomal RNA
Source: RNAcentral
UACGUAGGUGGCGAGCGUUGUCCGGAUUUACUGGGCGUAAAGGGAGCGUAGGCGGAUUUUUAAGUGAGAUGUGAAAUACUCGGGCUCAACUUGAGUGCUGCAUUUCAAACUGGAAGUCUAGAGUGCAGGAGAGGAGAAUGGGAUUCCUAGUGUAGCGGUGAAAUGCGUAGAGAUUAGGAAGAACACCAGUGGCGAAGGCGAUUCUCUGGACUGUAACUGACGCUGAGGCUCGAAAGCGUGGGGAGCAAACAGG